RNAcentral lists this ribosomal RNA (486 nucleotides) under uncultured bacterium. Its description in RNAcentral is "partial 16S ribosomal RNA". It matches the Rfam family "Bacterial small subunit ribosomal RNA", at positions 30 to 507 of the family's 1533-position model. The record is from RNAcentral.
AUUGAACGCUGGCGGUAUGCCUUACACAUGCAAGUCGAACGGCAGCACGGGUGCUUGCACCUGGUGGCGAGUGGCGAACGGGUGAGUAAUACAUCGGAACAUGUCCUGUAGUGGGGGAUAGCCCGGCGAAAGCCGGAUUAAUACCGCAUACGAUCCACGGAUGAAAGCGGGGGACCUUCGGGCCUCGCGCUAUAGGGUUGGCCGAUGGCUGAUUAGCUAGUUGGUGGGGUAAAGGCCUACCAAGGCGACGAUCAGUAGCUGGUCUGAGAGGACGACCAGCCACACUGGGACUGAGACACGGCCCAGACUCCUACGGGAGGCAGCAGUGGGGAAUUUUGGACAAUGGGCGAAAGCCUGAUCCAGCAAUGCCGCGUGUGUGAAGAAGGCCUUCGGGUUGUAAAGCACUUUUGUCCGGAAAGAAAUCCUUGGCUCUAAUACAGUCGGGGGAUGACGGUACCGGAAGAAUAAGCACCGGCUAACUACGUG